AAUGCGUAGAUAUAUGGAAGAACACCAGUGGCGAAGGCGGCUGUCUGGUCUGUAACUGACGCUGAGGCUCGAAAGCAUGGGUAGCGAACAGGAUUAGAUACCCUGGUAGUCCAUGCCGUAAACGAUGAAUGCUAGGUGUUGGAGGGUUUCCGCGUCGUAGCUAACGCAUUAAGUGCCCCGCCUGGGGAGUACGGCCGCAAGGCUAAAACUCAAAGGAAUU
Molecule: ribosomal RNA, 220 nt
Filed under: uncultured Lactococcus sp.
Lineage: Bacteria; Bacillati; Bacillota; Bacilli; Lactobacillales; Streptococcaceae
Description: partial 16S ribosomal RNA
Rfam family: Bacterial small subunit ribosomal RNA
Source: RNAcentral